GGAUUGUGGCUCAGCGGUAAAGUGCUCACCUAGCACAGCCGGGACCUGUGUUCAAUCCUCAGCACCA
This 67-nucleotide transfer RNA is filed under the name Marmota monax (woodchuck). Its description in RNAcentral is "tRNA.Ala". Lineage: Eukaryota; Metazoa; Chordata; Mammalia; Rodentia; Sciuridae. The record is from RNAcentral.